UACAGAGGGCAGCUACCCAGCAAUGGGAUGCGAAUCUCAAAGCCUGUCUCAGUUCGGAUUGGAGGCUGAAACCCGCCUCCAUGAAGUUGGAUUCGCUAGUAAUCGCGCAUCAGCCAUGGCGCGGUGAAUACGUUCCCGGGCCUUGUACACACCGCCCGUCAAGCCAUGGGAGCCGGGGGUGCCUGAAGUUCGUGACCGCAAGGAGCGACCUAGGGCAAAACUGGUGACUGGGGCUAAGUCGUAACAAGGUAAC
This 253-nucleotide ribosomal RNA is filed under the name uncultured bacterium. RNAcentral describes it as "partial 16S ribosomal RNA". It matches the Rfam family "Bacterial small subunit ribosomal RNA", at positions 1238 to 1500 of the family's 1533-position model. The record is from RNAcentral.